AGUCAUAUGCUUGUCUCAAAGAUUAAGCCAUGCAUGUGUAAGUACAUACCGAUUUAAGGUGAAACCGCGAAUGGCUCAUUAAAUCAGCUGUGGUUCAUUGGAUCUUAACCCCACUUACUUGGAUAACUGUGGUAAUUCUAGAGCUAAUACAUGCGUCCAGUCUCUGACCGCAAGGGAAGAGCGCUCUUAUUAGUCCAAAACUGGUCGGGCCUCGGUCCGUUCUGUCCUGGUGGUGAAUCUGAAUAAUUUUGACCUGAGCGCACGGUCUCCGCGCCGGCGCCGUAUCUUUCAAGUGUCUGCCUUAUCAGCUCUCGACUGUAGGUCAUGUGCCUACAUUGGCUAUAACGGGUAACGGGGAAUCAGGGUUCGAUUCCGGAGAGGGAGCCUGAGAAACGGCUACCACAUCUAAGGAAGGCAGCAGGCACGCAAAUUACCCACUCCCGGCACGGGGAGGUAGUGACGAAAAAUAACGGUGCGAGACUCAUCCGAGGCCUCGCAAUCGGAAUGAGUACACUUUAAAUCCUUUAACGAGGAUCGAUUGGAGGGCAAGUCUGGUGCCAGCAGCCGCGGUAAUUCCAGCUCCAAUAGCGUAUAUUAAAGUUGUUGCGGUUAAAAAGCUCGUAGUUGACCCUCAGUUCCGGACUGGCGGUGCACCGCCCGGUGUCUGUCCGUCACGCUCCGAACAGCAGGCGUGCUUGUCCUGCCCGGCCGGCUCGCACGGGGUGCUCUUCACCGAGUGUCCCGCGUGGCUGGCAAGUUUACUUUGAAAAAAUUAGAGUGCUCAAAGCAGGCUACGUGAAUGGCCUGAAUGGUGAUGCAUGGAAUAAUGGAAUAGGACCUCGGGUCUAUUUUAUUGGUUUUCGGAUCCAGAGGUAAUGACGAAUAGAAACAGGCGGGGGCAUUCGUACUGCGACGCUAGAGGUGAAAUUCUUGGACCGUCGCAAGACGAACUACUGCGAAAGCAUUUGCCAAGGAUGUUUUCAUUAAUCAAGAACGAAAGUUAGAGGUUCGAAGGCGAUCAGAUACCGCCCUAGUUCUAACCAUAAACGGUGCUGACUAGCGAUCCGCCGGCGUUAUUCCCAUGACCCGGCGGGCGGCUUCCGGGAAACCAAAGUCUUUGAGUUCCGGGGGAAGUAUGGUUGCAAAGCUGAAACUUAAAGGAAUUGACGGAAGGGCACCACCAGGAGUGGAGCCUGCGGCUUAAUUUGACUCAACACGGGGAACCUCACCAGGCCCGGACACCGGAAGGAUUGACAGAUUGAGAGCUCUUUCUCGAUUCGGUGGGUGGUGGUGCAUGGCCGUUCUUAGUUGGUGGAGCGAUUUGUCUGGUUAAUUCCGAUAACGAACGAGACUCUGGCCUAUUAACUAGUCGACGGAUCUCCAUUCGUUGGUGUCCAGUUCGCAACUUCUUCUUAGAGGGACUAGCGGCAUUCUAGCCGCACGAGAUUGAGCAAUAACAGGUCUGUGAUGCCCUUAGAUGUUCUGGGCCGCACGCGCGCUACACUGAAGGGAUCAACGUGUCUUCCCCCUCCGAGAGGAGAGGGUAACCCGUUCAAACCCCUUCAUGAUAGGGAUUGGGGCUUGCAAUUGUUUCCCAUGAACGAGGAAUUCCCAGUAAGCGCAAGUCAUCAGCUUGCGUUGAUUACGUCCCUGCCCUUUGUACACACCGCCCGUCGCUACUACCGAUUGAAUGAUUUAGUGAGGCCUUCGGACUGGCGCUCUUGGAUGCUGGACCCUACCUCCCACUCGGAGGAGGGCCCUCGCCUCGAGCUGACGGAAAGAUGUCCAAACUUGAUCAUUUAGAGGAAGUAAAAGUCGUAACAAGGUUUCCGU
This 1833-nucleotide ribosomal RNA is filed under the name Gilvossius setimanus. RNAcentral describes it as "SSU rRNA". It matches the Rfam family "Eukaryotic small subunit ribosomal RNA". Lineage: Eukaryota; Metazoa; Arthropoda; Malacostraca; Decapoda; Callianassidae. The record is from RNAcentral.